GAUGAACGCUGGCGGCGUGCCUAAUACAUGCAAGUCGAGCGAACGGACGAGAAGCUUGCUUCUCUGAUGUUAGCGGCGGACGGGUGAGUAACACGUGGAUAACCUACCUAUAAGACUGGGAUAACUUCGGGAAACCGGAGCUAAUACCGGAUAAUAUUUUGAACCGCAUGGUUCAAAAGUGAAAGACGGUCUUGCUGUCGCUUAUAGAUGGAUCCGCGCUGCAUUAGCUAGUUGGUAAGGUAACGGCUUACCAAGGCAACGAUGCAUAGCCGACCUGAGAGGGUGAUCGGCCACACUGGAACUGAGACACGGUCCAGACUCCUACGGGAGGCAGCAGUAGGGAAUCUUCCGCAAUGGGCGAAAGCCUGACGGAGCAACGCCGCGUGAGUGAUGAAGGUCUUCGGAUCGUAAAACUCUGUUAUUAGGGAAGAACAUAUGUGUAAGUAACUGUGCACAUCUUGACGGUACCUAAUCAGAAAGCCACGGCUAACUACGUGCCAGCAGCCGCGGUAAUACGUAGGUGGCAAGCGUUAUCCGGAAUUAUUGGGCGUAAAGCGCGCGUAGGCGGUUUUUUAAGUCUGAUGUGAAAGCCCACGGCUCAACCGUGGAGGGUCAUUGGAAACUGGAAAACUUGAGUGCAGAAGAGGAAAGUGGAACUCCAUGUGUAGCGGUGAAAUGCGCAGAGAUAUGGAGGAACACCAGUGGCGAAGGCGACUUUCUGGUCUGUAACUGACGCUGAUGUGCGAAAGCGUGGGGAUCAAACAGGAUUAGAUACCCUGGUAGUCCACGCCGUAAACGAUGAGUGCUAAGUGUUAGGGGGUUUCCGCCCCUUAGUGCUGCAGCUAACGCAUUAAGCACUCCGCCUGGGGAGUACGACCGCAAGGUUGAAACUCAAAGGAAUUGACGGGGACCCGCACAAGCGGUGGAGCAUGUGGUUUAAUUCGAAGCAACGCGAAGAACCUUACCAAAUCUUGACAUCCUUUGACAACUCUAGAAAUAGAGCCUUCCCCUUCGGGGGACAAAGUGACAGGUGGUGCAUGGUUGUCGUCAGCUCGUGUCGUGAGAUGUUGGGUUAAGUCCCGCAACGAGCGCAACCCUUAAGCUUAGUUGCCAUCAUUGAGUUGGGCACUCUAAGUUGACUGCCGGUGACAAACCGGAGGAAGGUGGGGAUGACGUCAAAUCAUCAUGCCCCUUAUGAUUUGGGCUACACACGUGCUACAAUGGACAAUACAAAGGGCAGCGAAACCGCGAGGUCAAGCAAAUCCCAUAAAGUUGUUCUCAGUUCGGAUUGUAGUCUGCAACUCGACUACAUGAAGCUGGAAUCGCUAGUAAUCGUAGAUCAGCAUGCUACGGUGAAUACGUUCCCGGGUCU
Molecule: ribosomal RNA, 1372 nt
Filed under: uncultured bacterium
Lineage: Bacteria
Description: bacterial SSU rRNA
Rfam family: Bacterial small subunit ribosomal RNA
Source: RNAcentral